Molecule: small nucleolar RNA, 107 nt
Filed under: Leersia perrieri
Lineage: Eukaryota; Viridiplantae; Streptophyta; Magnoliopsida; Poales; Poaceae
Description: Plant small nucleolar RNA R71
Rfam family: Plant small nucleolar RNA R71
About the family: R71 is a member of the C/D box family of snoRNAs containing the C (UGAUGA) and D (CUGA) box motifs. Multiple nearly identical copies of this snoRNA have been identified in Arabidopsis, and it is thought to function as a 2'-O-ribose methylation guide for 18S ribosomal RNA.
Source: Rfam by way of RNAcentral
AUCCUAUGGUGAGUACAGACGGUGACGUACUCCUGCAGUCGCUCCCAGGCUUCUGGUAUCGACUCGUCCUUCGUCUGCUAGAAACUUGAGAUCCUCCCACAAAGGAC